UGACGGCUGUAGAGAUACAGCGUUCCCUUCGGGACAGAUAGACAGGUGGUGCGUGGUUGUCGUCAGCUCGUGUCGUGAGAUGUUGGGUUAAGUCCCGCAACGAGCGCAACCCCUAUUGCCAGUUGCCAGCGAGUAAUGUCGGGCACUCUGGCGAGACUGCCGUUGACAAAACGGAGGAAGGUGGGGACGACGUCAAAUCAUCAUGCCCCUUAUGUCCUGGGCUACACACGUACUACAAUGGCAACAACAGAGGGCAGCCAGACCGCGAGGUUGAGCGAAUCCCAAAAUGUUGUCUCAGUUCAGAUUGCAGGCUGCAACUCGCCUGCAUGAAGUCGGAAUUGCUAGUAAUGGCAGGUCAGCAUACUGCCGUGAAUACGUUCCCGGGCCUU
This 389-nucleotide ribosomal RNA is filed under the name uncultured Fastidiosipila sp. RNAcentral's name for it is "bacterial SSU rRNA". It matches the Rfam family "Bacterial small subunit ribosomal RNA", at positions 992 to 1382 of the family's 1533-position model. The record is from RNAcentral. Lineage: Bacteria; Bacillati; Bacillota; Clostridia; Eubacteriales; Oscillospiraceae.